AUUUUCUCUUGAAAUAUAUACUUAAACGUGUAUUUCAUUUCUUUCUCUAAACUCCUUUAAAUACACAUUUAAACAGCUGAGAAUUGUGUUGCAACAUUCAGAGAAGUGUGAAAUCCAGUGGAUAGCUAACUUGUCAUCUGUAUAUUAGUUUGAGCGGAGUAGAUCAGGUAAUUUUGUGUUGUUGUUGUUGUUGUUGUUGUUGUUUAGUCGUUUAGUCAUGUCUGACUCUUUGUGACCCCAUGGACCAGAGCACGCCAGACACUCCUGUCUUCCACUGCCUCCCGCAGUUAGGUCAAACUCAUGUUCAUAACUGUCAGGGAACUGCCAUCGGAGCUGGAAGCGGAGGGGAGGCUCCAAAGGGAUGGCGGAGAGGGUCCCAGUAGGGAGAGAGGGAGCCCGUCUGCUGGGGAAGGAAAUCAGCGUAACACCAGUAGAGAAGGGGGGCAGAUGGGGGAAUCGGGGAGGAGGCUCCAAGACUCCUCGCCGGAGACCAGCGGAGAGAGUACGGGUACUCGACUGCCCACACCCUCCCUGCGCAGAAGACUUCCGCGCAGGGAGAGUAGAAGGAGACUUGGCAUCAAGGAACUUUUGUGCUGGAAAAAGUUUAAGAAACGCCCACUGACGGAUUCUGCCAGCGACUGAGACAGUCACGAUGCUGGAGGCUGUUCAGUCAGAAAGGGUUAACCAGGUAACCUAGCCAGGAGUGGCGGCAACUUACGCACGAGCAACCCCUAAACCCAUUACAAUAACUUCGAGAACACUGUCCAACCAUCUCGUCCUCUGUCGUCCCCUUCUCCUUGUCUUUCCCAACAUCAGGGUCUUUUCUGGGGAGUCUUGUCUUCUCAUGAGGUGGCCAAAGUAUUGGAGUCUCAGCUUCACGAUCUGUCCAUCUGUCCUUCCAGUGAGCACUCAGGGCUGAUUUCCUUAAGAAUGGAGAGGUUUGAUCUUCUUGCAGUCCAUGGGACUCUCAAGAGUCUCCUCCAGCACCAUAAUUCAAAAGCAUCAAUUCUUCGGCGAUCAGCCUUCUUUAUGGUCCAGCUCUCACUUCCAUACAUGGAUCCACAAACAUCAUAAUCCUCAAACAUCUCUGUCCCCAUAUUAAGGAUCUAUAUUCUGUUGUUCUCAUUCAAUGCAUUCCAUGCAUUCUUUUCCAAACUGAUUUAGAAUACAUGUUCUAAUAUUCCAUACCAACCAUAAAAAGGUUGUCAGUUGGUUUUUAUUUGGUUUUAUUUAUUUUAUUUUAUAAAAGGAGAAUUUCCUGGAUGCCUAGAUCCAGGUUUGGGGCAAAAACUCUCUGUGAGAGAACUCCAGCAGAGAUUUAAAAUCACAAAAUAUGCAGCAAACUAAAGCAUGGAAAUAUAGAUGGUUAGACCUUUAAAAUAACCUCUUCUAAGUUGCUUCCAAAGCUUUUCCUUUCUUCCGCUUUAGUAAUGAAAUAAACCACACAGUGAAAAUGGUUUUACUUACAAACUCUUCAAAGGUCAAAUUAUUGUCCUUUUUCAUACAGCAGCAAGAAAACACAGGCAGUUUAACAGCAUCGAAAUUGGUAAAUGUUUCUAAAUUAUUUGUAUAAAAACACAAAGAUAGUGUGCUUAAGCCACACAGUUUGGGCUUGGAGAGAUCAGCCCACACAUCCUUCCUCAGUUACAGGGUGGAAAGAGGAUGAACAAAGGCUAUGCUAACCCAAGAUGAAGGGGUGUGACCUAGGUCAGUCUAGGAGGACUGCUUAUUCUAUUAUCUUAACCCCUUCAUGCAUUAAUUAGAGCCAAGCAUGGUGGUUAUGAGAGGCUGAAUCAUCCCACAAAGAUUCCAUAUCUUGCCUUUCCAUCUUGUUUCUUUAUUGGUGUUUUUAAAAACUCAAUCACAUCUUGAAUAUUUUUUUUGGGGGGGAGAGGAGGCUGACUAGGGUAAUUUGCUUGCUCCGGUUAGGUGUUUUUUUUAAAAUAAAAACCUACAUGAUGUCCAAAUAUUAUGAUUAGGUGUAAGGUAUUUGGAAAUGAUCUGUCAGCUUUCUGUAUUAUGAUUAUUAGGUAAUACUGCUUCUUGUCAGGUUCUUUACCUCUAUGUCAAAAUCUUUAGGUGAAUGUAACCAGCAUUAAUUUGAGCUUUUUUUUCACCUUAGGUUUCCAGCUGGAAGGUAAAUAAUAACAUCCAGGAGCCUUAGAGUUCUGAUCUAUUCAACCAGAAGCAUUCCUCCUAGGAAUUUUAGAUCAAGAUAUAAAAAAGGAAAAUUGGAAAUUAUUUAUGUACAUAACAACAGCGGCAAGAAUUAUAUUAGCACAAGCUUGGAAGACAGAAGAAAUACCAAGGAAAGAACAAUGGCAAGGGAAACUUAUGGAAUAUGAAGAACUGGCAAAACUAACAGAUAAACUACAUGAAAAGGACAACAAAGACUUUAAAAGAGAAUGGGAACCAUUUACAAUAUAUAUGAAGAGACAACAUAAAGAACUGGACUCAUUGGCAGGAUUUGAGUAAACAAUCGCAAUUGUAUAGAA
This 2495-nucleotide long non-coding RNA is filed under the name Podarcis lilfordi (Lilford's wall lizard). The record is from RNAcentral. Lineage: Eukaryota; Metazoa; Chordata; Lepidosauria; Squamata; Lacertidae.